CAUCUGAUAUACGGUAUUUUCUUAAAUUGUAUAAAGAGAAAUUAUUGUAAAUCAGAUGAGCUGUGCCUGGGAU
This 73-nucleotide microRNA precursor is filed under the name Nomascus leucogenys (northern white-cheeked gibbon). RNAcentral's name for it is "miRNA (ENSNLEG00000024356.2)". The record is from RNAcentral. Lineage: Eukaryota; Metazoa; Chordata; Mammalia; Primates; Hylobatidae.